GAUGAAGAACGCAGCGAAAUGCGAUAAGUAGUGUGAAUUGCAGAAUUCCGUGAAUCACCGAAUCUUUGAACGCACAUUGCGCCUUCUGGUAUUCCGGAAGGCAUGCCUGUUCGAGAGUCAUUAACAACCGUUUCGAUCCCUUUCUUUCAGAAAUUACAAAGAGGAAAAGGGUUUGGUUAUGGUGGAGGAGGGAAAGGGAGCGUUUAGCCUGUAAAAAAAGAGGCUGUGUUCCGCCUCCCCCCCAAAAUUGUACAGGCGGUCGUGUGCGCCCACGCAUCGAGGUGUUGUAAAAGCUGCCACGGCACUUUUCACCUGUGCAGUGCGAGAUUGGCCAGCCGGUUUAAAAACCCCUCCAAACAAUCAAAGGUUGACCUCGGAUCAGGUAGGGAUACCCGCUGAACUUAAGCAUAUCAAUAAGCGGAGGA
Molecule: unclassified non-coding RNA, 425 nt
Filed under: soil metagenome
Description: partial contains 5.8S ribosomal RNA, internal transcribed spacer 2, and large subunit ribosomal RNA
Rfam family: 5.8S ribosomal RNA (bases 1-120)
Source: RNAcentral